GGUUUUGUUUGCGCGCAGCAUCACUAUUGCGGCUUCGCAGUGCUCACUGCCUCUGUAGAAAUUUAGGCGUCAGCUACUUUGGAUUCAAUCAAGCAGGACACGCGUGACGCCUAUCUUUUCCUCAGCCAGCUUUCUAAUUAGGGUCCAAUCGUGGCUGCCUGGGAGAGAGAACCUUCAUUGUGCUUCGGGAAGGUCAGAUGUGACGUCACCUCGGCAGAGGUGGCGCUUUGGUGGCAGAGUUGGUGGAGGGGAUUAGUUGGCUGUCAUCUUAUCAUGUGUUCAGACGGGCAACUGGGAGAAACGUGGACCUUCAUCUCCCCAACACAGUCGUUUUGCUGCUCUUCGGACGACGCGGCGAACUAGCAUAACAGUCUGGCGGCUGGU
Syngnathus typhle (broad-nosed pipefish) is the source of this 384-nucleotide long non-coding RNA. RefSeq lists it as uncharacterized. NCBI's taxonomy places the organism in Eukaryota, Metazoa, Chordata, Actinopteri, Syngnathiformes, Syngnathidae. The record is from RefSeq and is a predicted model, not a curated record. The transcript is spliced from 3 exons.